CUCAGAACGAACGCUGGCGGCAGGCCUAAUACAUGCAAGUCGAGCGCGCCCUUCGGGGUGAGCGGCGGACGGGUGAGUAACGCGUGGGAAUAUGCCCUUCUCUAAGGAAUAGCCUCUGGAAACGGAGAGUAAUACCUUAUACGCCCUUUGGGGGAAAGAUUUAUCGGAGAAGGAUUAGCCCGCGUUAGAUUAGGUAGUUGGUGGGGUAAUGGCCUACCAAGCCUACGAUCUAUAGCUGGUUUGAGAGGAUGAUCAGCCACACUGGGACUGAGACACGGCCCAGACUCCUACGGGAGGCAGCAGUAGGGAAUCUUAGACAAUGGGGGCAACCCUGAUCUAGCCAUGCCGCGUGUGUGAUGAAGGCCCUAGGGUCGUAAAGCACUUUCGCCAGAGAUGAUAAUGACAGUAUCUGGUAAAGAAACCCCGGCUAACUCCGUGCCAGCAGCCGCGGUAAUACGGAGGGGGUUAGCGUUGUUCGGAAUUACUGGGCGUAAAGCGCACGUAGGCGGAUUAGUAAGUUAGAGGUGAAAUCCCAGGGCUCAACCCUGGAACUGCCUUUAAUACUGCUAGUCUUGAGUUCGAGAGAGGUAAGUGGAAUUCCGAGUGUAGAGGUGAAAUUCGUAGAUAUUCGGAGGAACACCAGUGGCGAAGGCGGCUUACUGGCUCGAUACUGACGCUGAGGUGCGAAAGUGUGGGGAGCAAACAGGAUUAGAUACCCUGGUAGUCCACACCGUAAACGAUGAAUGCCAGACGUCAGCAAGUAUACUUGUUGGUGUCACACCUAACGGAUUAAGCAUCC
This 799-nucleotide ribosomal RNA is filed under the name uncultured Planktomarina sp. RNAcentral's name for it is "bacterial SSU rRNA". It matches the Rfam family "Bacterial small subunit ribosomal RNA", at positions 23 to 869 of the family's 1533-position model. Lineage: Bacteria; Pseudomonadati; Pseudomonadota; Alphaproteobacteria; Rhodobacterales; Paracoccaceae. The record is from RNAcentral.